This 360-nucleotide ribosomal RNA is filed under the name Salmonella enterica subsp. enterica. Its description in RNAcentral is "bacterial SSU rRNA". It matches the Rfam family "Bacterial small subunit ribosomal RNA", at positions 1186 to 1533 of the family's 1533-position model. Lineage: Bacteria; Pseudomonadati; Pseudomonadota; Gammaproteobacteria; Enterobacterales; Enterobacteriaceae. The record is from RNAcentral.
CAAGUCAUCAUGGCCCUUACGACCAGGGCUACACACGUGCUACAAUGGCGCAUACAAAGAGAAGCGACCUCGCGAGAGCAAGCGGACCUCAUAAAGUGCGUCGUAGUCCGGAUUGGAGUCUGCAACUCGACUCCAUGAAGUCGGAAUCGCUAGUAAUCGUGGAUCAGAAUGCCACGGUGAAUACGUUCCCGGGCCUUGUACACACCGCCCGUCACACCAUGGGAGUGGGUUGCAAAAGAAGUAGGUAGCUUAACCUUCGGGAGGGCGCUUACCACUUUGUGAUUCAUGACUGGGGUGAAGUCGUAACAAGGUAACCGUAGGGGAACCUGCGGUUGGAUCACCUCCUUACCUGAAAGAAGC